Molecule: long non-coding RNA, 3324 nt
Filed under: Piliocolobus tephrosceles (Ugandan red Colobus)
Lineage: Eukaryota; Metazoa; Chordata; Mammalia; Primates; Cercopithecidae
Description: lncRNA (ENSPTEG00000038651.1)
Source: RNAcentral
CUUUGAAAAAAUAGAUAAAAAAAAAAAAAAAAAACCCAACGUACAAUAACUAACAAAAAACAACUUAAUGAGUUAAUGCUAUAACUUUACUAUUUAUAACAAAAUUAAAAUAAGGUAGAACAGGAAAUGAAAACAUACAUUUUAAUUGUCUUAUUUAUUUUCAAAACAGUAGUUAAUAUACAUAUAAGCAAAACCACACACUUUAUAAACAACACAUGUCAAUUAAAUAAACAUAAAUUAAUUAAAAAGAGUAGUAGAAACAACAUAAUAAAUAAAAAUAAAAAUAACAAAUUAUAUACAUCAUUCUUUGAUAAAUAUGAUGAAAAUUGUAUAAAGGCUCUUAUUAUGGCUAGGGAGGUAGCCAAAAAUGAUAAUGAAAAAGAAAUCUUAAUAAAACAUUUGUUAGUUGGUAUUAUAAAAAUCGAUUAUAAAUUAAUAGAACAUAUUUCGAAAUAUGUCAACAUAUCAAUAACAAAUUUUUUAAAUAAAUUUAAGUUAGGUACAGAUCGAUUAUCAAAAUUGCAGAAUGUUGAUAGUGUGAAUAGUGAUAGUAGUGGUAGCAAUAGUGGUAGCAAUAGUGGUAGUAGUAGUGGUAGUAGUAGUAGUAGUGGUAGUAGUAGUAGUAGUAGUGAUAGUAGUAAUAGUGAUAGUAGUAAUAGUGGUAGUUGUGGUAACAAUAGUGGUAGCAGCAGUAAUAAUAGUUGCGGUAGCAAUAGUGGCAGCAGCAGUAGUGGUAGUGGUGGUAGCGAUGACGACAGCCAUAACAAUAAUAUACCACCAAACGAUAGCAACAGUAAAAAUUAUACUUUAAAAAACAAUAUGGAUGAAUAUGUAGACGAUGAAACAGAACCAAUAAGUUAUACUGAAAAUACUGGCGACAAUCGAAAUAAAAAACAGUUAUAUAAUAAUAAGUCUCAAAAUAAUGACAACCUAUUAAUUAGCGAUUUUAUUGAUAAACAUAUACGGCAGAUUAAAGAUAAAAUAAUUUUGUUAAAAAAAAUAAACAAGGAGGAACAUGAUAUAGAUUCCAAUACAUUUACUUCUGCUACUGAUGCAGUUGUUGAUAGCUUUGUAAAUGCCAUUACUGAUACACAUGCCAUUAAAAAUGAUGGAAGUAAUAUAGUAACUCCGAAAAGCGACGAUACCGAUGAACAUAAUAGCACUACGAAUAACGAUAAUAAAAACAAAAAUAAAAAAUAUAUUACAAAUGCUUUAAAUUUCCUUAAAAUUUUACAUAACCUAACGAAUAAUAAAAAUGCAAGUGACAAUAAAAAAGAUACUGAAGAAGUAGCUAAAAUAAAUUCUAAUAUAAAAUUUUCUAAUGCUUGUAAGUUAAUACUUAAAAAUGCUGUUUUAGAAGCAAAAAAAAAACAAAAAAUGUUUGUUAAUGUUACGGAUAUAUUAUUAUCACUUAUAGAUAUGGCACAAAAAAAUAUAGAUACUGAUUUUGAAAAAUAUUUAAAUGAAUUGAACAUAAAUAUAAAUGAAUUGAAAAAUCAGUUAUCAAGUUAUGAUGAGGAACAUGGUUUUAGUCCUGCUACACCUUCUACUAAAAUGACCAAUAAAAUUAAUGAUAACAUUAGCAGUUAUACACGUGACAAUAAUACCACUACUUUAGAAAGUAGUGAUUGUCACAGUGCCGUUGACACUAGCGGAUAUCGAAACAAUGACAACCAAAAUCGUGAUAACCAAAAUCGUGAUAACCAAAAUCGUGAUAACCAAAAUCGUGACAACCAAAAUCGUGAUAACCAAAAUCGUGACAACCAAAAUCGUGACAACCAAAAUCGUGACAACCAAAAUCGUGAUAACCAAAAUCGUGACAACCAAAAUCGUGAUAACCAAAAUCGUGACAACCAAAAUCGUGAAAACGACGAAGAUGAACUUGUCAAGGAUGAACUAAACAACCAACCAAUAAACAACACACCGAACGAAAAAAUUAACAACAUCCUAAACAGUCUAAACAGCCUGAACAGCGAAUACUUUAAUGAUAUAAAAGAAUACACAAAUUAUGAAGAGAAUAAUUAUAAUAAUAAUUUAGGUCAAAAUAUUAAUACUAAUAAUAAUAACAAAUUUAUGGGUUCAUCAUUUAUGAAAGAAUGUUUAACAGAUAUGGUAGAAGUAGCAAAAGAAAAAAAAGAUAAUAGUUUUUUUGGAAGAAAAAAAGAAUUAAAAAGAAUCAUUGAAAUAUUAGGUAGAAAAAAAAAAUCGAAUCCGUUAUUAAUAGGAGAAAGUGGAGUAGGUAAAACAGCAAUAAUCGAACAUUUAUCAUUUUUGAUUUCAAAAAAUAAAGUACCACAACAUUUGAAAAAUUAUCGUAUCUACCAGUUGAAUGUUGGUAAUAUUGUAGCUGGUACAAAAUAUAGAGGUGAGUUUGAAGAAAAAAUGAAAUAUUUAUUAUCAAAUAUGAAUAAAAAAAAAAAAAAUAUCUUAUUUAUUGAUGAAAUACAUGUUAUUGUUGGAGCAGGAAGUGGAGAAGGAUCUUUAGAUGCGUCCAACUUAUUAAAACCAUUUCUUUCUGCUGAUAAUUUACAAUGUAUAGGUACAACUACCUUUCAAGAAUAUUUUAAAUAUAUAGAAAAUGAUAAACCUUUAAGGAGAAGAUUUAAUUGUGUUACUAUCAAACCUUUAACACCUGAACAAACAUAUAAACUAUUAAAAAAAAUAAAAUAUAAUUAUGAACAAUAUCAUAAUGUAUUUUAUACAUAUGAUUCAUUAAAAUCUAUAAUUACAUUAACAGAAGAUUAUUUACCAACAGCAAACUUCCCAGAUAAAGCUAUAGACAUAUUAGAUGAAGCAGGAGCUUAUCAAAAAAUAAAACACGAAAGGUACAUUAAGCAUAAAUUAAAAAAUCAGAAUAUCAAUCAGAAUAUCAAUCAGAAUAUCAAUCAGAAUAUCAAUCAGAAUAUCAGUCAUAAUAUCAAUCAGAAUAUGCAAAAUUCUACUGUUAUCAACAAUUGUGGACAAAAUGACAGCAUACAAAUACAACCAAAUAAAGUUUAUAAAAAAAAUGGUGAAAAUGAAUUCACUUCGAAAAAUCGGGACGUAAAUCGGGACAUAAAAAUAGCUACAGUUGGGAAUAUAUUUAACAUGGAUGUAGCAAAUGCAAAAGAUAAACAGGUAAAAGUAAUUACAGAUAAACAAAUUGGUAACUGUGUUGGUGGAAAGGAUGUAGGGGAGCAAAAGGGGCAAUCAGAGGCUAACCAAUCAGAGACUAACCAACCAGAGACUAACCAACCAGAGACUAACCAACCAGAGACUAACCAAUCAGAGACUAACCAAUCAGAGACUAACCAACCUGAGACUAACCAACCUGAGACUAACCAA